UGGGGAAUCUUGCACAAUGGGCGAAAGCCUGAUGCAGCAACGCCGUGUGAGCGAGGAAGGCCUUAGGGUCGUAAAGCUCUGUUGUUGGGGACGAAGGGCGAAGGGUUAAUAGCCCCUAGCCUGACGGUACCCUUCGAGGAAGCCCCGGCUAACUACGUGCCAGCAGCCGCGGUAAUACGUAGGUGGCAAGCGUUGUCCGGAAUUAUUGGGCGUAAAGCGCGCGCAGGCGGUCUCUUAAGUCUGAUGUGAAAGCCCACGGCUCAACCGUGGAGGGUCAUUGGAAACUGGGGGACUUGAGUACAGAAGAGGAGAGUGGAAUUCCACGUGUAGCGGUGAAAUGCGUAGAGAUGUGGAGGAACACCAGUGGCGAAGGCGGCUCUCUGGUCUGUAACUGACGCUGAGGCGCGAAAGCGUGGGGAGCAAACAGGAUUAGAUACCCCCGUAGUCC
RNAcentral lists this ribosomal RNA (448 nucleotides) under uncultured prokaryote. Its description in RNAcentral is "bacterial SSU rRNA". It matches the Rfam family "Bacterial small subunit ribosomal RNA", at positions 355 to 796 of the family's 1533-position model. The record is from RNAcentral.